UGGGGAAUCUUGGGCAAUGGGCGAAAGCCUGACGCAGCCAUGCCGCGUGAAUGAUGAAGGUCUUAGGAUUGUAAAAUUCUUUCACCGGGGACGAUAAUGACGGUACCCGGAGAAGAAGCCCCGGCUAACUUCGUGCCAGCAGCCGCGGUAAUACGAAGGGGGCUAGCGUUGCUCGGAAUUACUGGGCGUAAAGGGCGCGUAGGCGGACAGUUUAGUCAGAGGUGAAAGCCCAGGGCUCAACCUUGGAAUUGCCUUUGAUACUGGCUGUCUUGAGUACGGGAGAGGUGAGUGGAACUCCGAGUGUAGAGGUGAAAUUCGUAGAUAUUCGGAAGAACACCAGUGGCGAAGGCGACUCACUGGCCCGUUACUGACGCUGAGGCGCGAAAGCGUGGGGAGCAAACA
Molecule: ribosomal RNA, 402 nt
Filed under: uncultured bacterium
Lineage: Bacteria
Description: bacterial SSU rRNA
Rfam family: Bacterial small subunit ribosomal RNA
Source: RNAcentral